Long non-coding RNA from Glycine soja, 470 nucleotides. RefSeq lists it as uncharacterized. Lineage: Eukaryota; Viridiplantae; Streptophyta; Magnoliopsida; Fabales; Fabaceae. The transcript is spliced from 2 exons. The record is from RefSeq and is a predicted model, not a curated record.
AAGCAUAGCCUCAAGGUGACACACAUCACAUAGAGGAACAAAAUCGGUUCCUCUGUUUUCCACCUUAUCUCAUUGUUGCUUCUUUGGUCUUUCUUGCAGCAAUCCUCCCAUGCCAUCAAAAGGCCAAGUUCAUUUCUCCAUUUAGUUUCAGUUUUUGAAAAUUUUGCUGAAUUUUGGCUUAUAUUAUUUUUAAUUUCAAAAUAUGUAAUAAUAUGCUUGUGCAAGUUAGCUUGUACAUUUCAAUGGUUUUUUAAGUUUUAUCUUUUCUUUGUUGUAGUCUUAUAUUGUAUACUUAGGAUGGCAUUCUCAUGGCCCAAACCCUUCAGCAAGUGAUCUUGAGUUUGCAACAAAUCCCCAUUACAAAUUAUUAGGCUCACACUUGGGAAGCCAUGAGAAGGCCAAAGAAGCAAUAUUUUAUUCAUACAAUAAACACAGCAAUGGUUUUGCUGUUGUACUUGAAGAGGAACAUG